This 494-nucleotide ribosomal RNA is filed under the name uncultured bacterium. RNAcentral describes it as "partial 16S ribosomal RNA". It matches the Rfam family "Bacterial small subunit ribosomal RNA", at positions 28 to 507 of the family's 1533-position model. The record is from RNAcentral.
GACGAACGCUGGCGGCGUGCUUAACACAUGCAAGUCGAACGGUGAAGCGCCUUCCUCUUUGGUGGGUGUGGAUGAGUGGCGAACGGGUGAGUAACACGUGAGUAACCUGCCCCCUUCUUCUGGAUAACCGCAUGAAAGUGUGGCUAAUACGGGAUAUUCUGGGUCUGUCGCAUGAUGGGUCUGGGAAAGAUAUUGUUUCGGUGGGGGAUGGGCUCGCGGCCUAUCAGCUUGUUGGUGGGGUGAUGGCCUACCAAGGCGGUGACGGGUAGCCGGCCUGGGAGGGUGGACGGUCACAAUGGGACUAAGACACGGCCCAGACUCCUACAGGAGGCAGCAGUGGGGAAUAUUGCACAAUGGGCGCAAGCAUGAUGCAGCGACGCCGCGUGAGGGAUGGAGGCCUUCGGGUUGUGAACCUCUUUCGCCAGUGAAGCAGGCCUGCCUCGUUUGUGGGUGGGUUGACGGUAGCUGGAUAAGAAGCGCCGGCUAACUACGUG